RNAcentral lists this ribosomal RNA (466 nucleotides) under uncultured bacterium. Its description in RNAcentral is "partial 16S ribosomal RNA". It matches the Rfam family "Bacterial small subunit ribosomal RNA", at positions 29 to 506 of the family's 1533-position model. The record is from RNAcentral.
ACGAACGCUGGCGGCGUGCUUAACACAUGCAAGUCGAACGGAAAGGCCCUGCUUUUGCGGGGUGCUCGAGUGGCGAACGGGUGAGUAACACGUGAGUAACCUGCCCUUGACCUUGGGAUAACUUCAGGAAACUGGGGCUAAUACCGGAUAGGAGCUCCUGCUGCAUGGUGGGGGUUGGAAAGUUUCGGCGGUUGGGGAUGGACUCGCGGCUUAUCAGCUUGUUGGUGGGGUAGUGGCUUACCAAGGCUUUGACGGGUAGCCGGCCUGAGAGGGUGACCGGCCACAUUGGGACUGAGAUACGGCCCAGACUCCUACGGGAGGCAGCAGUGGGGAAUAUUGCACAAUGGGCGGAAGCCUGAUGCAGCAACGCCGCGUGCGGGAUGACGGCCUUCGGGUUGUAAACCGCUUUCGCCUGUGACGAAGCGUGAGUGACGGUAAUGGGUAAAGAAGCACCGGCUAACUACGU